UUGUGGCUCAGCGGUAGAGCGCUCGCCUGGUACAUGCAGGGCCCUGGGUUCGAUCCACAGCUAAA
This 65-nucleotide transfer RNA is filed under the name Marmota monax (woodchuck). Its description in RNAcentral is "tRNA.Thr". Lineage: Eukaryota; Metazoa; Chordata; Mammalia; Rodentia; Sciuridae. The record is from RNAcentral.